AGUUUGAUCCUGGCUCAGGAUGAACGCUAGCUACAGGCUUAACACAUGCAAGUCGAGGGGCAGCAUCAUCAAAGCUUGCUUUGAUGGAUGGCGACCGGCGCACGGGUGGGUAACACGUAUCCAACCUGCCGACAACACUGGGAUAGCCUUUCGAAAGAAAGAUUAAUACCGGAUGGCAUAGUUUUCCCGCAUGGGAUAAUUAUUAAAGAAUUUCGGUUGUCGAUGGGGAUGCGUUCCAUUAGGCAGUUGGCGGGGUAACGGCCCACCAAACCAACGAUGGAUAGGGGUUCUGAGAGGAAGGUCCCCCACAUUGGAACUGAGACACGGUCCAAACUCCUACGGGAGGCAGCAGUGAGGAAUAUUGGUCAAUGGACGAGAGUCUGAACCAGCCAAGUAGCGUGAAGGAUGACUGCCCUAUGGGUUGUAAACUUCUUUUAUACGGGAAUAAAGUUAGCCACGUGUGGCUUUUUGUAUGUACCGUAUGAAUAAGGAUCGGCUAACUCCGUGCCAGCAGCCGCGGUAAUACGGAGGAUCCGAGCGUUAUCCGGAUUUAUUGGGUUUAAAGGGAGCGUAGGCGGGUUGUUAAGUCAGUUGUGAAAGUUUGCGGCUCAACCGUAAAAUUGCAGUUGAUACUGGCGACCUUGAGUGCAACAGAGGUAGGCGGAAUUCGUGGUGUAGCGGUGAAAUGCUUAGAUAUCACGAAGAACUCCGAUUGCGAAGGCAGCUUACUGGAUUGUAACUGACGCUGAUGCUCGAAAGUGUGGGUAUCAAACAGGAUUAGAUACCCUGGUAGUCCACACAGUAAACGAUGAAUACUCGCUGUUGGCGAUAUACGGUCAGCGGCCAAGCGAAAGCAUUAAGUAUUCCACCUGGGGAGUACGCCGGCAACGGUGAAACUCAAAGGAAUUGACGGGGGCCCGCACAAGCGGAGGAACAUGUGGUUUAAUUCGAUGAUACGCGAGGAACCUUACCCGGGCUUAAAUUGCAACUGACUGAAUCGGAAACGGUUCUUUCUUCGGACAGUUGUGAAGGUGCUGCAUGGUUGUCGUCAGCUCGUGCCGUGAGGUGUCGGCUUAAGUGCCAUAACGAGCGCAACCCUUACGGGUAGUUACCAUCAGGUUAUGCUGGGGACUCUACCCGGACUGCCGUCGUAAGAUGUGAGGAAGGUGG
RNAcentral lists this ribosomal RNA (1170 nucleotides) under uncultured Bacteroides sp. Its description in RNAcentral is "bacterial SSU rRNA". It matches the Rfam family "Bacterial small subunit ribosomal RNA", at positions 10 to 1176 of the family's 1533-position model. The record is from RNAcentral. Lineage: Bacteria; Pseudomonadati; Bacteroidota; Bacteroidia; Bacteroidales; Bacteroidaceae.